RNAcentral lists this transfer RNA (96 nucleotides) under Parundibacterium terreum. Its description in RNAcentral is "Undibacterium terreum tRNA-Sec". It matches the Rfam family "Selenocysteine transfer RNA". The record is from RNAcentral. Lineage: Bacteria; Pseudomonadati; Pseudomonadota; Betaproteobacteria; Burkholderiales; Oxalobacteraceae.
GGAAGGCAAACGUGUCCGGUGAUGCGGGCGGGCUUCAAACCCGUCAGGGGAUGUCUAUCAUUCUCUCGUAAGUUCGACUCUUACUGUCUUCCGCCA